AUUGAACGCUGGCGGCAGGCCUAACACAUGCAAGUCGAGCGGUAGCACAGAGAGCUUGCUCUCGGGUGACGAGCGGCGGACGGGUGAGUAAUGUCUGGGAAACUGCCUGAUGGAGGGGGAUAACUACUGGAAACGGUAGCUAAUACCGCAUAAUGUCGCAAGACCAAAGUGGGGGACCUUCGGGCCUCAUGCCAUCAGAUGUGCCCAGAUGGGAUUAGCUAGUAGGUGGGGUAACGGCUCACCUAGGCGACGAUCCCUAGCUGGUCUGAGAGGAUGACCAGCCACACUGGAACUGAGACACGGUCCAGACUCCUACGGGAGGCAGCAGUGGGGAAUAUUGCACAAUGGGCGCAAGCCUGAUGCAGCCAUGCCGCGUGUGUGAAGAAGGCCUUCGGGUUGUAAAGCACUUUCAGCGGGGAGGAAGGCGGUGAGGUUAAUAACCUUGUCGAUUGACGUUACCCGCAGAAGAAGCACCGGCUAACUCCGUGCCAGCAGCCGCGGUAAUACGGAGGGUGCAAGCGUUAAUCGGAAUUACUGGGCGUAAAGCGCACGCAGGCGGUCUGUCAAGUCGGAUGUGAAAUCCCCGGGCUCAACCUGGGAACUGCAUUCGAAACUGGCAGGCUAGAGUCUUGUAGAGGGGGGUAGAAUUCCAGGUGUAGCGGUGAAAUGCGUAGAGAUCUGGAGGAAUACCGGUGGCGAAGGCGGCCCCCUGGACAAAGACUGACGCUCAGGUGCGAAAGCGUGGGGAGCAAACAGGAUUAGAUACCCUGGUAGUCCACGCCGUAAACGAUGUCGAUUUGGAGGUUGUGCCCUUGAGGCGUGGCUUCCGGAGCUAACGCGUUAAAUCGACCGCCUGGGGAGUACGGCCGCAAGGUUAAAACUCAAAUGAAUUGACGGGGGCCCGCACAAGCGGUGGAGCAUGUGGUUUAAUUCGAUGCAACGCGAAGAACCUUACCUGGUCUUGACAUCCACAGAACUUUCCAGAGAUGGAUUGGUGCCUUCGGGAACUGUGAGACAGGUGCUGCAUGGCUGUCGUCAGCUCGUGUUGUGAAAUGUUGGGUUAAGUCCCGCAACGAGCGCAACCCUUAUCCUUUGUUGCCAGCGGUUCGGCCGGGAACUCAAAGGAGACUGCCAGUGAUAAACUGGAGGAAGGUGGGGAUGACGUCAAGUCAUCAUGGCCCUUACGACCAGGGCUACACACGUGCUACAAUGGCAUAUACAAAGAGAAGCGACCUCGCGAGAGCAAGCGGACCUCAUAAAGUAUGUCGUAGUCCGGAUUGGAGUCUGCAACUCGACUCCAUGAAGUCGGAAUCGCUAGUAAUCGUAGAUCAGAACGCUACGGUGAAUACGUUCCCGGGCCUUGUACACACCGCCCGUCACACCAUGGGAGUGGGUUGCAAAAGAAGUAGGUAGCUUAACCUUCGGGAGGGCGCUUACCACUUUGUGAUUCAUGACUGGGGUGA
Molecule: ribosomal RNA, 1463 nt
Filed under: uncultured Klebsiella sp.
Lineage: Bacteria; Pseudomonadati; Pseudomonadota; Gammaproteobacteria; Enterobacterales; Enterobacteriaceae
Description: bacterial SSU rRNA
Rfam family: Bacterial small subunit ribosomal RNA
Source: RNAcentral